Molecule: ribosomal RNA, 602 nt
Filed under: uncultured archaeon
Lineage: Archaea
Description: bacterial SSU rRNA
Rfam family: Archaeal small subunit ribosomal RNA
Source: RNAcentral
UUGGUGGGGUAAUGGCCCACCAAGCCGAUGAUCGGUACGGGUUGUGAGAGCAAGGGCCCGGAGAUGGAACCUGAGACAAGGUUCCAGACCCUACGGGGUGCAGCAGGCGCGAAACCUCCGCAAUGUACGAAAGUGCGACGGGGGGAUCCCAAGUGUUAUGCUUUUUUGUAUGACUUUUCAUUAGUGUAAAAAGCUUUUAGAAUAAGAGCUGGGCAAGACCGGUGCCAGCCGCCGCGGUAACACCGGCAGCUCGAGUGGUAGCUGUUUUUAUUGGGCCUAAAGCGUUCGUAGCCGGUUUGAUAAGUCUUUGGUGAAAGCUUGUAGCUUAACUAUAAGAAUUGCUGGAGAUACUAUUAGACUUGAAGUCGGGAGAGGUUAGAGGUACUACCGGGGUAGGGGUGAAAUCCUAUAAUCCUGGGAGGACCACCUGUGGCGAAGGCGUCUAACUGGAACGAUCUUGACGGUGAGUAACGAAAGCCAGGGGCGCGAACCGGAUUAGAUACCCGGGUAGUCCUGGCCGUAAACGAUGUGGACUUGGUGUUGGAAUGGCUUUGAGUUGUUCCGGUGCCGAAGGGAAGCUGUUAAGUCCACCGCCUGGGAAG